Long non-coding RNA from Lycium ferocissimum, 759 nucleotides. RefSeq lists it as uncharacterized. The transcript has 3 exons. The record is from RefSeq and is a predicted model, not a curated record. NCBI's taxonomy places the organism in Eukaryota, Viridiplantae, Streptophyta, Magnoliopsida, Solanales, Solanaceae.
AAAAGAAAAAGAAAAAAAAGAAGAAGAUAAAUCUGGAAGCAAAAAAAGGAAAGUGCAGUGACGAUCUCUCUCCUUAGCUCCAAAGCUUUCCAAUCCAAGAUACAUCUGAAAUUUGUUGGUGUCACAAAUCGAAGGUACCCGUUCUUAAUUUGAAGUUUUUUCUUCCAUUUCUUUCCUUUCCAUCGCUGAUUUAAUGUUUUUUGCUCUUGAGAUCUGAAAUGAUGGUGAAGGUGCCGCUGUAAUUUGUACUUGUUCAACCCAAAUCGAAGAUGUAUGCAUCUUAAUCAUUGAUUUCUCAGAGACCACAAGAUUUAAAAGUCUUUCUUUAUCUCUUAAACUGCGUACCCAAUGAAACUAUAUCACAUAAAUUGGGACGCAGGGAGUACUAGAGAGAGUCAAGGAAGAUGCUCUUCCUUUCCUUAAGAGAUUGUACCGGUUCAUCAAUGACAUAACAUAGAUAUACUUUCUUUUACAUUGAAGUGAGUGAAUACAGAAGAGAACGGGAGAAGAAUGCACACUGGUGUCUUAGCAGCCUAAGCUGACUAAGAAGAUUAUGAAAAAUGGAACGCUGACAUUUUACGGUUAUUAGAUUAAUUAGAAAUGACUGUUGAUAAGGUAAAAAAUUCUACCUUUUCAUUGUUUCUCAAUAUUUUCUAUUAUCUCCUGCAAAGAUUAUUCUUUUGCAGGAAAUAUUGCUGCGUGGUUGUGUAAAGGAUCGUUAUUUAGAUUCAUUAGAUGUACAUAAUCAGUUUUUAUUUU